CCUACGGGCGGCUGCAGUGGGGAAUAUUGCACAAUGGGCGCAAGCCUGAUGCAGCCAUGCCGCGUGUGUGAAGAAGGCCUUCGGGUUGUAAAGCACUUUCAGCGGGGAGGAAGGCGGUGAGGUUAAUAACCUCAUCGAUUGACGUUACCCGCAGAAGAAGCACCGGCUAACUCCGUGCCAGCAGCCGCGGUAAUACGGAGGGUGCAAGCGUUAAUCGGAAUUACUGGGCGUAAAGCGCACGCAGGCGGUCUGUCAAGUCGGAUGUGAAAUCCCCGGGCUCAACCUGGGAACUGCAUUCGGAAACUGGCAGGCUAGAGUCUUGUAGAGGGGGGUAGAAUUCCAGGUGUAGCGGUGAAAUGCGUAGAGAUCUGGAGGAAUACCGGUGGCGAAGGCGGCCCCCUGGACAAAGACUGACGCUCAGGUGCGAAAGCGUGGGGAGCAAACAGGAUUAGAUACCCGAGUAGUC
RNAcentral lists this ribosomal RNA (466 nucleotides) under uncultured Klebsiella sp. Its description in RNAcentral is "bacterial SSU rRNA". It matches the Rfam family "Bacterial small subunit ribosomal RNA", at positions 338 to 795 of the family's 1533-position model. Lineage: Bacteria; Pseudomonadati; Pseudomonadota; Gammaproteobacteria; Enterobacterales; Enterobacteriaceae. The record is from RNAcentral.